This 1470-nucleotide ribosomal RNA is filed under the name uncultured Bordetella sp. Its description in RNAcentral is "partial 16S-23S ribosomal RNA intergenic spacer". It matches the Rfam family "Bacterial small subunit ribosomal RNA". Lineage: Bacteria; Pseudomonadati; Pseudomonadota; Betaproteobacteria; Burkholderiales; Alcaligenaceae. The record is from RNAcentral.
GGUUUGAUUCUGGCUCAGAUUGAACGCUGGCGGGAUGCUUUACACAUGCAAGUCGAACGGCAGCACGGACUUCGGUCUGGUGGCGAGUGGCGAAUGGGUGAGUAAUGUAUCGGAACGUGCCUAGUAGCGGGGGAUAACUACGCGAAAGCGUAGCUAAUGCCACAUACGCCCUUCGGGGGAAAGCGGGGGACCUUCGGGCCUCGCACUAAUGAAGCGGCCGAUAUCGGAUUAGCUAGUUGGUGAGGUAACGGCUCACAAGGCGACGAUCCGUAGCUGGUUUGAGAGGACGACCAGCCACACUGGGACUGAGACCGGCCCAGACUCCUGCAGGAGGCGGCAGUGGGGGAAUUUUGGACAAUGGAAACCCUGAUCCAGCCAUCCCGCGUGUGCGAUGAAGGCCUUCGAGUUGUAAAGCACUUUGGCAGGAAAGAAACGGCCUGGGAUAAUACCCCGUGCAACUGACAGUACCUGCAGAAUAAGCACCGGCUAACUACGUGCCAGCAGCCGCGGUAAUACGUAGGGUGCAAGCGUUAAUCGGAAUUACUGGGCGUAAAGCGUGCGCAGGCGGUUCGGAAAGAAAGAUGUGAAAUCCCAGAGCAACUUUGGAACUGCAUUUUUUAACUACCGAGCUAGAGUGUGUCGAGAGGUGGAAUUCCGCGUGUAGCAGUGAGAUGCAGAUAUGCGAGGAGGAACACCGAUGGCGAAGGCAACCUCCUGGGAUAACACUGACGCUCAUGCACGCUUGUGGGGAACAAACGGGAUUAGAUACCCUGUUGGUCUUGCCUAAAGCGAUGUCAACUAGCUGUUGGGGCCUUCGGGCCUUGGUAGCGCAGCUAACGCGUAGAAGUUGACCGCUAUACAGGAGUACGGUCGCAAGAUUAAAACUCAAAGGAAUUGACGGGGACCCGCACAAGCGGUGGAUGAUGUGGAUUAAUUCGAUGCAACGCGAAAAACCUUACCUGCCCUUGACAUGUCUGGAAUCCCGAAGAGAUUUUGGGGUGCUCGCAAGAACCGGAACACAGGUGCUGCAUGGCUGUCGUCAGCUCGUGUCGUGAGAUGUUGGGUUAAGUCCGCAACUUGAGCGCAACCCUUGUCAUUAGUUGCUACGAAAGGCACUCCUAAUGAGACUGCCGGUGACAAACCGGAGGAGGGUGGGGAUGACGUCAAGUCCUCAUGGCCCUUAUGGGUAGAGACUACACGUCAUACAAUGGUCAGGACGAAGGUCGCCAACCCGCGAAGGUAUCCGAAACCCGAUCCGUAGUCGGAUCGCAGUCUGCAACUCGACUGCGUGAAGUCGGAAUCGCUAGUAAUCGCGGAUCAGCAUGUCGCGGUGAAUACGUUCCGGGUCUUGUACACACCGCCCGUCACACCAUGGGAGUGGGUUUUACCAGAGAAAUAGUUAGCCUAACCGUAAGGAGGCGAUUACCACGGUAGGAUUCAUGACUGGGUUGAAGUCGUAACUAAAGAUAG